This is a ribosomal RNA of 436 nucleotides. It matches the Rfam family "Bacterial small subunit ribosomal RNA", at positions 341 to 792 of the family's 1533-position model.
ACGGAAGGCAGCAGUGGGGAAUAUUGGGCAAUGGGGGAAACCCUGACCCAGCAACGCCGCGUGAAGGAAGAAGGCCUUCGGGUUGUAAACUUCUUUUACCAGGGACGAAGACGUGACGGUACCUGGAGAAAAAGCCACGGCUGACUACGUGCCAGCAGCCGCGGUAAUACGUAGGUGGCAAGCGUUGUCCGGAUUUACUGGGUCUAAAGGGCGUGUAGGCGGAGCGGCAAGUCAGAUGUGAAAUCUUCGGGCUCAACUCGGAAACUGCAUUUGAAACUGUCGCCCUUGAGUAUCGGAGAGGCAGGCGGAAUUCCUAGUGUAGCGGUGAAAUGCGUAGAUAUACGGAGGAACACCAGUGGCGAAGGCGGCCUGCUGGACAAUAACUGACGCUGAGGCGCGAAAGCGUGGGGAGCAAACAGGAUUAGAUACCCUGGUA